This 497-nucleotide ribosomal RNA is filed under the name uncultured bacterium. Its description in RNAcentral is "partial 16S ribosomal RNA". It matches the Rfam family "Bacterial small subunit ribosomal RNA", at positions 28 to 507 of the family's 1533-position model. The record is from RNAcentral.
GAUGAACGCUGGCGGCGUGCCUAAUACAUGCAAGUCGAGCGAACGGACGAGAAGCUUGCUUUUCUGAUGUUAGCGGCGGACGGGUGAGUAACACGUGGAUAACCUACCUAUAAGACUGGGAUAACUUCGGGAAACCGGAGCUAAUACCGGAUAAUAUUUUGAACCGCAUGGUUCACAAGUGAAAGACGGUCUUGCUGUCACUUAUAGAUGGAUCCGCGCUGCAUUAGCUAGUUGGUAAGGUAACGGCUUACCAAGGCAACGAUGCAUAGCCGACCUGAGAGGGUGAUCGAGCACACGGGAACUGAGGCACGGUCCAGACUCCUACGGGGGGCAGCGGUAGGGAAUCUUACGCGAGGGGCGAAAGCCUGACGGAGCAACACCGCGGGAGUGAUGAAGGUCUUCGGAUCGUAAAACUCUGUUAGUAGGGAAGAACAUAUGUGUAAGUAACUGUGCACAUCUUGACGGUACCUAAUCAGAAAGCCACGGCUAACUACGUG